UGCCCAGUGAUGACACCCAUCCUUGCUCCCCGUGUCCGCCAGGGACUGUGGGCGACACCACGGCUACCCCCAGGCGGGGCCAGUGGGGCUAAUGCCUGGGGGCUGAGGGCA
Capra hircus (goat) is the source of this 111-nucleotide small nucleolar RNA. Ensembl annotates it as small nucleolar RNA, C/D box 23. Its record names the gene SNORD23. The record is from Ensembl. NCBI's taxonomy places the organism in Eukaryota, Metazoa, Chordata, Mammalia, Artiodactyla, Bovidae.